This 254-nucleotide ribosomal RNA is filed under the name uncultured bacterium. Its description in RNAcentral is "partial 16S ribosomal RNA". It matches the Rfam family "Bacterial small subunit ribosomal RNA", at positions 524 to 776 of the family's 1533-position model. The record is from RNAcentral.
UACGUAGGGUGCGAGCGUUGUCCGGAAUUAUUGGGCGUAAAGAGCUCGUAGGCGGUGUGUCACGUCGGCCGUGAAAACCUGCAGCUUAACUGUGGGCGUGCGGUCGAUACGGGCAUCACUGGAGUUCGGCAGGGGAGACUGGAAUUCCUGGUGUAGCGGUGAAAUGCGUAGAUAUCUGGAGGAACACCGGUGGCGAAGGCGGCAUUCUGGACCGAAACUGACACUGAGGCGCGAAAGCCAGGGGAGCAAACGGG